UAAUGUCUGGGAAACUGCCUGAUGAGGGGGGAUAACUACUGGAAACGGUAGCUAAUACCGCAUAAUGUCGCAAGACCAAAUGGGGGACCUUCGGGCCUCAUGCCAUCAGAUGUGCCCAGAUGGGAUUAGCUAGUAGGUGGGGUAACGGCUCACCUAGGCGACGAUCCCUAGCUGGUCUGAGAGGAUGACCAGCCACACUGGAACUGAGACACGGUCCAG
This 219-nucleotide ribosomal RNA is filed under the name uncultured bacterium. RNAcentral describes it as "partial 16S ribosomal RNA". It matches the Rfam family "Bacterial small subunit ribosomal RNA", at positions 111 to 334 of the family's 1533-position model. The record is from RNAcentral.